AGCGAACGCUGGCGGCGUGCUUAACACAUGCAAGUCGAGUGCGUAGCCCUUUGUAGCAAUACAGAGGGUGGGCGCACGGCGCACGGGUGAGUAACACGGUGGGUAACCCUGCCCUUCGGUGGGGAAUAACCCCGCGAAAGCGGGGCUAAUUCCGCAUAACAUUCCGGGGACACAUGUUCUCGGACUCAAAGGAGUGAUUCGCCGGAGGAGGGCCCGCGCCCGAUUAGCUUGUUGGUAGGUAACGGCCUACCAAGGCUUUGAUCGGUAGCCGGUCUGAGAGGAUGGCCGGCC
This 291-nucleotide ribosomal RNA is filed under the name uncultured bacterium. RNAcentral describes it as "partial 16S ribosomal RNA". It matches the Rfam family "Bacterial small subunit ribosomal RNA", at positions 29 to 309 of the family's 1533-position model. The record is from RNAcentral.